UAGGGAAUCUUCCGCAAUGGACGAAAGUCUGACGGAGCAACGCCGCGUGAGUGAUGAAGGUUUUCGGAUCGUAAAACUCUGUUGUUAGGGAAGAACAAGUUGGGUAGUAACUGACCCAACCUUGACGGUACCUAACCAGAAAGCCACGGCUAACUACGUGCCAGCAGCCGCGGUAAUACGUAGGUGGCAAGCGUUGUCCGGAAUUAUUGGGCGUAAAGCGCUCGCAGGCGGUCUUUUAAGUCUGAUGUGAAAGCCCACGGCUUAACCGUGGAGGGUAAUUGGAAACUGGAGGACUUGAGUACAGAAGAGGAGAGUGGAAUUCAACGGGUAGCGGUGAAAUGCGUAGAGAUGUGGAGGAAAACCAGUGGCGAAGGCGACUCUCUGGUCUGUAACUGACGCUGAGGAGCGAAAGCGUGGGUAGCGAACAGG
RNAcentral lists this ribosomal RNA (429 nucleotides) under Bacillota bacterium. RNAcentral describes it as "Firmicutes bacterium partial 16S ribosomal RNA". It matches the Rfam family "Bacterial small subunit ribosomal RNA", at positions 355 to 776 of the family's 1533-position model. The record is from RNAcentral. Lineage: Bacteria; Bacillati; Bacillota.